RNAcentral lists this long non-coding RNA (200 nucleotides) under Lathyrus oleraceus (garden pea). Its description in RNAcentral is "Pisum sativum (pea) long non-coding RNA (PSAT_LNC015621)". The record is from RNAcentral. Lineage: Eukaryota; Viridiplantae; Streptophyta; Magnoliopsida; Fabales; Fabaceae.
AAAAGUCAACUCAAACAUUUUCGAAAAUUAUGAAAUAAAUCACACUCAAUCCUAACAUCUAACAUAGCAAGCAUGUCAAAUUUCAUGGCAUUUGGAUGAGAGGAAGGCAGUCAAAUAAAAUCAUGAAGUCAAACCAAAUUCAAUUAAGCAUGGUGAAAGUCAACAAGCAUGGGUCAACUUCAAAAAAUCAUAUCAAUUUG